AUACUUACCUGGCAGGGCAGAUACCAUGAUCACAAUGGUGGUUUUCCCAGGGUGAGGCUUAUCCAUUGCACUCAGGAUGUGCUGACCCCUGUGAUUUUCCUAAAUGUGGGAAACUUGACUGAAUAAUUUGUGGUAGUGGGGGACUGCAUUGGUGCUCUCCCCUU
Molecule: small nuclear RNA, 164 nt
Organism: Otolemur garnettii (small-eared galago)
Lineage: Eukaryota; Metazoa; Chordata; Mammalia; Primates; Galagidae
Gene: U1
Rfam family: U1 spliceosomal RNA
About the family: U1 is a small nuclear RNA (snRNA) component of the spliceosome (involved in pre-mRNA splicing). Its 5' end forms complementary base pairs with the 5' splice junction, thus defining the 5' donor site of an intron.
Source: Ensembl